RNAcentral lists this ribosomal RNA (429 nucleotides) under uncultured bacterium. RNAcentral describes it as "bacterial SSU rRNA". It matches the Rfam family "Bacterial small subunit ribosomal RNA", at positions 355 to 775 of the family's 1533-position model. The record is from RNAcentral.
UGGGGAAUUUUGGGCAAUGGGCGCAAGCCUGACCCAGCGACGCCGCGUGGAGGAUGAAGGCCUUCGGGUUGUAAACUCCUGUCAGGUGGGAAGAAAUCUCCGCCGGCCAAUACCCGGCGGCGUUGACGGUACCACCAAAGGAAGCCCCGGCUAACUCCGUGCCAGCAGCCGCGGUAAUACGGAGGGGGCAAGCGUUAUUCGGAUUUACUGGGCGUAAAGCGCACGUAGGCGGCACUGCAAGUCGUAGGUGAAAGCCCUCGGCUCAACCGAGGAAGUGCCUUCGAAACUGCGCUGCUUGAGGCCGGGAGGGGGGAGCGGAAUUCCCAGUGUAGGGGUGAAAUGCGUAGAUACUGGGAGGAACACCGGUGGCGAAGGCGGCUCCCUGGACCGGUACUGACGCUGAGGUGCGAAAGCGUGGGUAGCAAACAG